Molecule: non-coding RNA, 73 nt
Organism: Aedes aegypti (yellow fever mosquito)
Lineage: Eukaryota; Metazoa; Arthropoda; Insecta; Diptera; Culicidae
Source: Rfam
UCUCUCGUGGUGUAGGAGUAACGCGCCCUGUCUAGUAAACAGCGGGUCGUGAGUUCGAUUCUCAUCGAAAAGA